CCUACGGGAGGCAGCAGUGGGGAAUCUUGCGCAAUGGGCGAAAGCCUGACGCAGCCAUGCCGCGUGAAUGAUGAAGGUCUUAGGAUUGUAAAAUUCUUUCACCGGGGACGAUAAUGACGGUACCCGGAGAAGAAGCCCCGGCUAACUUCGUGCCAGCAGCCGCGGUAAUACGAAGGGGGCUAGCGUUGCUCGGAAUUACUGGGCGUAAAGGGAGCGUAGGCGGACAUUUAAGUCAGGGGUGAAAUCCCGGGGCUCAACCUCGGAAUUGCCUUUGAUACUGGGUGUCUUGAGUAUGAGAGAGGUGUGUGGAACUCCGAGUGUAGAGGUGAAAUUCGUAGAUAUUCGGAAGAACACCAGUGGCGAAGGCGACACACUGGCUCAUUACUGACGCUGGGGCUCGAAAGCGUGGGGAGCAAACAGGAUUAGAUACCCUGGUAGUCCACGCCGUAAACGAUGAUUGCUAGUUGUCGGGAUGCAUGCAUUUCGGUGACGCAGCUAACGCAUUAAGCAAUCCGCCUGGGGAGUACGGUCGCAAGAUUAAAACUCAAAUGAAUUGACGG
RNAcentral lists this ribosomal RNA (560 nucleotides) under uncultured bacterium. Its description in RNAcentral is "bacterial SSU rRNA". It matches the Rfam family "Bacterial small subunit ribosomal RNA", at positions 338 to 916 of the family's 1533-position model. The record is from RNAcentral.